UGCAUGGCCGUCGUCAGUUCGUACUGUGAAGCAGUCCUGUUAAGUCAGGCAACGAGCGAGACCCACGCCACAGUUGCCAGCAUGUCCUCCGGGAUGGUGGGGACACUGUUGGGACCGCCUCUGCUAAAGAGGAGGAAGGAAUGGGCAACGGUAGGUCAGCAUGCCCCGAAUUAUCCGGGCUACACGCGGGCUACAAUGGUCAGGACAAUGGGCAUCAACACCGAAAGGUGAAGGCAAUCUCUUAAACCUGUCCUUAGUUCGGAUUGUGGGCUGCAACUCGCCCACAUGAAGCUGGAAUCUGUAGUAAUCGCGUCUCAAAAUGGCGCGGUGAAUAUGUCCCUGCUCCUU
Molecule: ribosomal RNA, 348 nt
Filed under: uncultured Methanolinea sp.
Lineage: Archaea; Methanobacteriati; Methanobacteriota; Methanomicrobia; Methanomicrobiales; Methanoregulaceae
Description: bacterial SSU rRNA
Rfam family: Archaeal small subunit ribosomal RNA
Source: RNAcentral